Molecule: ribosomal RNA, 252 nt
Filed under: uncultured bacterium
Lineage: Bacteria
Description: partial 16S ribosomal RNA
Rfam family: Bacterial small subunit ribosomal RNA
Source: RNAcentral
UACGUAGGGGGCAAGCGUUGUCCGGAUUUAUUGGACGUAAAGAGCGUGUAGGCGGUUCGGUAGGUCCGUUGUGAAAACUCGAGCUCAACCUCGAGACGCCGAUGGAAACCCCCGAACUAGAGUCCGGAAGAGGAGAGUGGAAUUCCUGGUGUAGCGGUGAAAUGCGCAGAUAUCAGGAAGAACACCCGUGGCUAAGGCGGCUCUCUAGUACGGUACUGACGCUGAGACGCGAAAGCGUGGGGAGCGAACAGG